AUUGUACAUUAGGGGUGCCUGUUUCACUAUUUUGGCUGAGAGGAUCCACCAACCCUUUGAACCUGAUCUCAUUAGUCUGAGCGGAGGAAAAUGUGUCUAUUGUUAU
Molecule: regulatory RNA element, 106 nt
Organism: Legionella longbeachae NSW150
Lineage: Bacteria; Pseudomonadati; Pseudomonadota; Gammaproteobacteria; Legionellales; Legionellaceae
Rfam family: TPP riboswitch aptamer (THI element)
About the family: Vitamin B(1) in its active form thiamin pyrophosphate (TPP) is an essential coenzyme that is synthesised by coupling of pyrimidine and thiazole moieties in bacteria. The previously detected thiamin-regulatory element, thi box was extended, resulting in a new, highly conserved RNA secondary structure, the THI element, which is widely distributed in eubacteria and also occurs in some archaea.
Source: Rfam